CCGUAUUACGUUGAAUCAACAGUUCCCAUACAAUCACCUAAAUUAAGCAACGUCAAGCCUGGUCAGUACUUAGAUGGGUGACCGCUUGGGAAUACCAUGUACUGUAC
Molecule: non-coding RNA, 107 nt
Organism: Acanthosepion pharaonis
Lineage: Eukaryota; Metazoa; Mollusca; Cephalopoda; Sepiida; Sepiidae
Source: the annotation of a GenBank genome assembly